Taeniopygia guttata (zebra finch) is the source of this 2667-nucleotide non-coding RNA. NCBI's taxonomy places the organism in Eukaryota, Metazoa, Chordata, Aves, Passeriformes, Estrildidae. The record is from RefSeq and is a predicted model, not a curated record.
AUUCCACAGCGGUGCCCAUGGCCCCGUUUAAGAGUGGGCAUCCCAUCGUGGCAUUGAACAAUCCGUCGGAAGACAAAGUCCCUGCCCCGAAGAGAACAGCACAGGAACUGUUUUUUCUGCUGAUACCAGCCAGGAAGUUGAAAAUACAUGAAGAAGAAAAUCCAUCGAAAGAAAUGAAAAUAUUUUUGUUUCGUUUCGUUUAUGGCGUUCACACAACGCACCAUAAUAGAAAGAGGAAUAUUUCCUUUAAUUUGAAUGUCAUCUGAAUGACUCAACCACAUUGUCACCCACUUAAGCAAAAGAAAGCAUAAUAAAUAAAUAAAUAAAUAGACAAGAAUAUGCAACACUUUACAUCCUCAAGGAAUCACGGCGUUCCCUAAAUCUACCGAGGUCCUGAUCGGCGUCGUGGGCUCGCUGUACUCAGCCACUUUCGGGUGAUUGUGCCAUGUUAAUGACAAAUCCAGUGGUGUUCCACUUUCCACAAUGGAGUAUUUUUUUGUGUGUUUUUUUGUCUUUUAUUUUUUUCUCCACCUUUUAAAUAUAGGAAUUCUCUCUUAAAUUAGAAAGUAGGCAAAAAGUAUUUUUUUUUUUAAAUUUUCAUUUUUAAGUCUUCUAUUAGAAAAAAUAGAGAUUUAUUAAACAAAAAAUAAUAAGGUAGAAAGAAGGGUUGGGCCUCCAUCAAAAAAGUAGAUUAUGCUUUAAUGCAAAGAGAAAGAAAUGGCUCUAUGGGCAAAAUUCAAGUAUGAGUGACCAGUUUUUUAAUCGUAAAGUCGGUGCAACAUUUCUUAAAAUGUUACAACACUGCAUGACCUGUAAUGCUCACAAUAUUUACAUUAACUGCUUACAUGAAACCAUAAAAACUCUAAAAAAGAAAAAAAAAAAAAAAGAAUUGGUAUGGACUGAAACAAACUACUCCUAGCACCCACAUCAAUGCCAUUAUUAACCGAGGAAAUCAAGUGCACGAGAAUACUUUACAUAAUCUUAGGGAUGUAAAGUAAAUCAGCGGGGAGGGAGCACAGACCUACGGGCCAAAGGAGACACAAACUCAGCUCUGGGACACGAAGCAGAGGGAGGAGGCAAAGGAAAUCCCGAGGGAGAGGGGCUCCAGCGCUCGGAUUGGGAUGGAAGAGCCAAGGGCCACCAGGACACGGCCGCAGGAGAACGGGAGCUGGCGGCUCCGCGAGGAGGAGGAGGAGGAGAGACAAACGAACCUGCCCGAGGAAGAAGGGGACCCCGCCCGGGUCAGGAGCCAGCCCGGGAGCCCCGAGGUAGCUGCGUGCCCGGGCACCCAGCCCCGCUGCCAGCGCUGCCCUGCGGCACCCACGGGUGCCACUGGGGCGAGAGGAGAAGGAGUCACGAUCCAUCCUCGGGAUCCUCGGGAUCCUUGGGAUCCCCAAUCCUGGGACCCUCGGGGUGCUGAGCCAGAGAGCGACGGGCGGGACGCGGGGCCAAGGAGCUCUGAGGUAAGCGGUGGUCCCGGCGCCAGGGUGGGAGGCAAAGCUCCACCCGGGGCUGGGAAUGGUGCCUGGAGUUCUCCUGGGAAGCCUCGAGCGUGCCACGGCUUCCGCCACCAUCGCCACCGGCCGUGUGGAAAAGGAAAAUGAAAUCAAAUGGAAAGAAUGUUGUGCUACACUUCCGUUCGUUAAUUUUAUAAUGGCUCAUAGCUUUAGACUUUUAAAUCUGUAGUGUAUUAAUUUUUUUUUUUUCUACAUAUGUUUCACAUUUCUCACUUAAUAUAACAUAAAUAAUUUGGUUAAUAGAUUUAACCUGCGCAUUUCAGCCACAUUAAUAUAUAUAAGAAUCUGUUAAUGGUAUAAAUAAUUCUUUUUAAAUAAAAUAAAUCUGAUAUGUUACAUAAUACUGAUAAAAAUUACUGUUGCUAAUAGUUUUGUAAGCCACCCUUAACUUUUUUUUCCGUUUUAAUACUGCGAGAUGGACCCUGGGAUUGCUUUUCCCGGACACUGCGGAGCGUUGCCCUUUCAUCCUACUGCCAAACCAAAGGAAAUGGACAGCAAUCAAUCCUGAUCACUCCUCAAAGCAGGGCCUCUGCCCCCUUCCGAGGAAACAUCGCGUUAAUGUCAUUAGAUAAUUGAAGCUAAUUAAUCUAGGGGGUGGUUGGAGGGGCUCAACGUUACGGGGGGAUCGACUGUUUAGUUCCUCAGGUGGCUCUGAAACUUCUCCUACAAAAAUGGUUGACUAAAAUAGUCCCUCUACUCUUUUUUUUUUUUUUUUUUUUUUUGUCCUUUUUAAUCAAAUCUACAGCGUUCUACGUUCAAAGCUAAGGAAAUAAAAUCGCAACCGAGGGGUUGCAGCCUUUGAAUUGUUAAUUAGAGCUGUGAUCCCACAUCCCGCUGGGAAUCUGCGAGGCUGCGCUCUCCUAAAGGCCUGAACUGGAGUACAGCACUUCCAGGCAAGGUUCAUUCCAGACAGACAGAGCAAUGAACACUCAGUGGCGUGAAGUGGAUGUCAUAAUUAAGGUAUUACAUAAUCAUGCCUUCUCUCUGCUGUUAAAUACAAAAACAGCAUCUUUUACAUUAUCAUAUAAAAGCAUUUAGGCUGUAUUUUUAUUUAUCACUUUACACUGGUAGUCUCUUGUAUGUGUACUCAAUAGAAACCAAAGAAUUUUGUACACUAUUUUUUGUACAAUAAAAGAUAAAGUGUGCAUUA